AGGGGAGGUGCGGCUCGGCUUCCGGGCCUGGCGAGGGACCGCGGCGUGGGUCGGUGAGGUCGCGGCACCGUCCGGCGGGCCGUGAGCGAUCGGCUCGGGUGUCCUUUUAACUCCGUUGGGACCCAUAGAGAGGGCGACGCUGAGGGAGGCGGCGCAGUGUUCCCAAGGUCUCCCGGCGCGGUGUGGACUCGGAUUCCGAGCACCCUCCACCUGAAAUAGCCACUGCGGGUUCCCUGGGGCCUUUUUUCCUCCGCUGGAGUCCCCAAAGUUCCCAGACUAUCACCUGUGCCCUGGAGGCCAGGACCCUCCCUCCUAGACCAUAGGUCGGAGUAGAGCCAAGCUCUCUGGGUCUCUGUUCCGGGCUGCCGCCCACCAGUCGCGCGCGGAGGGGGUUGACACCCGGCACCCUCGCGCCCCUCUUCACCUUCCUCAGGUAGGCUUUCACAAGUUUCAUUCUUCUCCAGGAAGACCCAAAGAAACGUCCACGUGGCCUGGAGAGCUAGGGAAAGACAAGGAUUUCCUAAAAUUCCUUUUUAGCUUUUGGAAAAUGAAAUCGUUCCCUUCUUUUGCUCGAUUGCCUUGUCCGUGGUGGGUUCGGUCCACCCUGCCUCUGGAGGGGCGCCCGCUCUUCCUUGGAGCCCUCUGCUGACAGUUCCUCUCUGCCCCACCCGUGACUUAAUCCACCAAGAAAUCAGCUGUUCGCGCCCUUGGAGGUUCAGAGUAACAAUGCAAAGGGGUCCCUGCGUAAGUGUCCAGGGAUGCUUGCUCUAUGCCAGGGGCAGGUCCCAGGGGCUUGGAGAUGAGAAAACAAGGAAGACUUCGGGAUGAGAGACCGCCUGAGCUUCCCUGAGGGAGUAGGUGAGAGGAGGAGCUGGCGAAAGGCGGGCCAGUGGGAAGGGAGCAGGAAGUGAGGUCAGAGCACCAGGGGCUUGGUCACUGGGUGAGUGGCCCUGGCCGCAGUGAGGGAGGUUUUCAAAAGAAAAAUGGUCUUGUAUCAGGCUGAUUUUCCAUGCAUAUAGGCAGGGGUGCCAUCUGGCAUACAGAUGUUCAGUAUGGCCAGCCUUCAGGUUCGUAUUUGAAAGAGUUCUCAGCAUUUAAUAACUAGGAGUUUCCAUCUAAAAAUCUGGAUUGCCUGCUUUCUAAAAAGACUCCUUGCCUCUUUUAUCAAUCUCUUUUUUUUCUCUAUGGUACUUCCCACCCACUCUAUCCCACUCCCUACCUCAUCUGGAAUACCUUGCCUCCUCUUCUUCCUUGACUUCUAAAUCCUGUCCAUCCUUCAAGUCCAGAUUCUCAGUUCUCUUUCCUGAAACCUUCCCUGAUUUAUCCUAUGGUGACUUCUUGUGAUUCCUCUGACCCUGGCUGUACCCGGGAGUUUUGAAAAAUAUAAUGCCUGAACACCACCCUCAGGUGGAGCCCUGGCAUCAUCUGUAAUAAAGCUGCUUUCACUCAAGGGAAGGUGUCACCUGAUAAUGUAGAGGACAGAUUCUGUUUUGGAAAGGAAAUUUUGGGUAGCCCAAUGGCUCAGCGGUUUAGUGCUGCCUUUGGCCCAGGGCGUGAUCCUGAAGACCCGGGAUCGAGUCCCACGUCAGGCUCCCUGCAUGGAGCCUGCUUCUCCCUCUCUCUCUCUCUCUCUCUCCCUCUCUCUUUCUGUGUCUCUAAUAAAUAAAUAAAAAUCUUAAAAAAAAAAAAAAAAAA
This 1695-nucleotide long non-coding RNA is filed under the name Canis lupus familiaris (dog). Its description in RNAcentral is "lncRNA (ENSCAFG00000054082.1)". Lineage: Eukaryota; Metazoa; Chordata; Mammalia; Carnivora; Canidae. The record is from RNAcentral.